AUCGCUUCUCCGCCUUCUGGCUUCAGAUCAAGUGUAAGUACUUGUUGCUUAUCGUUAAUAUCUGAUACUCCCCCAUCGGGCGACUACAUAUUAAUGGAUUUUUCGAACAGAGAGUCGAAAUGGGCUUGCUCCGUCCGCUCCACGCAUCAGACCGGUAUGCCAUACCUCCGAACGGUCUUGCAACACUU
This 188-nucleotide small nuclear RNA is filed under the name Oncorhynchus tshawytscha (Chinook salmon). Its description in RNAcentral is "U2 spliceosomal RNA". It matches the Rfam family "U2 spliceosomal RNA". From Rfam's summary of the family: U2 is a small nuclear RNA (snRNA) component of the spliceosome (involved in pre-mRNA splicing). The record is from Rfam by way of RNAcentral. Lineage: Eukaryota; Metazoa; Chordata; Actinopteri; Salmoniformes; Salmonidae.